AGCCCCGUAGUGUAGUGGCCAAUCAUACAAGGCUCUGGACCUUGUGACCACGGUUCGAAUCCGUGCGGGGCUA
This is a non-coding RNA of Candidatus Woesearchaeota archaeon CG1_02_33_12, 73 nucleotides long. The record is from Rfam. NCBI's taxonomy places the organism in Archaea, Nanobdellati, Candidatus Woesearchaeota.